This is a long non-coding RNA of Vidua chalybeata, 3964 nucleotides long. RefSeq lists it as uncharacterized. NCBI's taxonomy places the organism in Eukaryota, Metazoa, Chordata, Aves, Passeriformes, Viduidae. The record is from RefSeq and is a predicted model, not a curated record. The transcript has 2 exons.
GCGACACCCCGCCCGCCGCCAGAAGGCGACUACGCCACGGUCUUCUCGGUUAUCACCACCGGCCUCAGGGAACGGGCCGAAGCCAGUGAAAGACACUUCACAUGCCUGUACCUCUCUUCACCCUGGGAAUGUCACAGCUUCUGAGAACAGAAAGGUUUUCCCACCACCCUCUUCUGUGGAGGGUAAAUCUCCAUCAUAAAGCAUUUUCUAAGCAGCUGACCAGGACAGGGAUGAGAAUGUGUUUCAGAGCUUUUUCCCUGGUUCCUGAAAGUGCAAAAUAAGCCUGGUGGAAGCAGCCAGACCCUGAAGGACAAGUGGAUACAUCUGGCCUGACCCUUCUGCAGCUGACGAAGGGUGGCCAAGGACUGAAAUACACUGUUUGUAUUUAAGACCAUUUUGACAUAUUAUAAUUCAGCAAAACUCUUCUGGAAAAAACUCAGUCUGGGCAUAAUCCUUGACAGACCCUCAGGAGAUUGAAGUACCUGGGGACACAUGGGACUUGUCUGCUGCCACAGCAAGUGGCAGGGAGGGUUAGCCAUGGCAGGACUGAGUACAGAAAGCAGCUUUUGGAGGUGCUCCCAGGUGGUACAGCAUGGAUAUUCUCUCAGAUGGGAGUGCUUGGAUCCAAUUUACAGCUGGCAGACUUGGAAGAAAUCAAAUAAAACUUCUUUUGUAAUGUUACAGUGAAGUAAGAGGAGUUCUCUUAAAAGGCAAUGAGAAAAGAAACCCUAGGAAGAGAAAGAUAGGAUUGAAUAAGAUGCCAUUCAUUUCUUGCCAUCUGAGAAUAAAAUUUGUGAGGAAAUACUGUCCUUAUCCUUAUAAAUGGCCAAUAUCUUCUCAAACCCAGCAAAGCGGAGAGCAGGCAAGGUUUAUGGUUCACAUUAGCAGAUUCUAGUGACAUGAGUUUACAAUAAUGGUCUAAUAGUUCACUGUAACAGUGACUCAUGGCUUAUUACUGUGGUGAUAGGAAUGCAAAGAGAUCUCAUUUAAAAAAUAUAUAUUUGGAUAGUUCACAUCCUUUCCUCCCUACUCAUGAAUUCCUGUGCCAUUGACUGCUAGCUGCUAAAAAUAGGAUCCUUUUUGUGUAUCUAAAGGAAAACCUAGAAUCAGAGAGACAGUGGGAGGGGACCAAGGUCCUUCCACACAAGGCCUUCAGAUAAUAUUUGUACUGAAAUCCCUCUGAGAGUGCAGGAAUGUUUUUAAAAGAUGGGAACAAUUUCAGAAGGUAUCUGGAAAGAAGAAGGAGAGGAAUUAAUGAAUCACAGCAGUUCCCAGCUUUGGUAUUUUGCACCAUAGGGGUGGGAGGUACAGGACCAAGCUGCAGCUUUGUCUUGGAGAAGCUGUUCUACUUCAGCAGCAGGAAACUCCAGGGAACAGCCCAGGAACAGCCCUGUGGGCUGAUGCAGAGCCACAAGAGGAGACUCACUAGUAGUCAUUUGAAGCUGUACAAGUCCCUUAAGGACAGCAGCAGGAAAGAGGAUCUGGGAAGACAUGAGGAAGGUAUCUGCAAACAAAAUGGAUUAUCACCACCACCCCUUCAAAAAAGAAAAAAACCCACGUGGCACCUCAGAAACAAACUGCUGAAGUGUGAAAUCAUGCAGCAGGGAAAGCUGUCACAGAGAAUCAGAAAUUUAUUUAAUAGACACAAAUUGACUGCUGCAUGAUUUGUACAGAUUGCUGCUUGCUGAGAGGGAGAGAGAUCCACAGCUCUGGAGAGCUGAGCGCAGGCAAUGCCUGGCAAAAGGUGUGGAAAGAAAAAAAUUUGUCGUUGGUAAUUGUACGUGUACUGAAUGCUUCCUCUUCGGUAGGGAACAAUUAAAAUCGAUGGCAGGAUACAAGGUAACAAAAGGAAAUGACUGAUCAAUAUGCAUGUCUUGGAGCUGAAGACAAGCCCGUCUGCCAAGAGCAGCAUGCUGAUGAGGCGAGAUUCUGAGAGGGAAGCUGAAAAGCUUCCACUCCUGAUGCUCAAAAACACAACACAGCUGAGCAGAUGCCAGGUGCAGUGCUAGAAGAGAGGUGAGGGCACCACGGAGUCUAGAGAAUAACUGUUAGGAAAAGCAGGGAAUAUUAAUUUUAAGACUAAAUAGAUUUAAAGUAAAAAAUGUGAUGCUUCUCUAUCUUUCUAAAGAUCUCAAAAGCCCUUUACUGAUAUUGAAAAAUUAUGGUCUUUACAUACCUGUGCAAGGUUUUAGAGAUACUGAGACAGUGAUAUUUUAAGGCCAAUGUCCAGUUUAUUCCUUGGCUCAAAGCACUUGAAAUCUCAUUUCCCUGUAUAUUUCACUGGGUGGGUCUCUGUCAAGUGCUACCAAAAAUCAAACACUAAAUCUUUCAUGAUUCAGUAGUUUUAAAUUUGUCACCCAGAUUUCUGAAUACUUUUGAAAAUGUUGCUGUAAAGCCAACUGGAGGCUCUACCAUGGCCCCAGUGGGACAGGGAAGAGCACAUGGGAACUCCAGGUUUGCUUUCCCAGUUUUCCCCCUCCUGAGUUAUGGUAUUUGUUUCUGAGGCACCAGCCUCAGAAAUGGCACAUGAGCAGUUAAACACCUCAGGUCUUGCAGCUCAUACAUCUCAUUCUGCUGAUACAGACAGAAGGUGGGCACAGCUGAAGAUCAGAGCCAGAAAAAUGCUGCAAAAACUUUGUGAAAUUUCACUUCAUGGUAACCCCACAUUUGCCUGAACAUAUUGCCCAUGAAUUCCUGACUAGCAUCCUAAACAGUAGAUAAAGACCUAUUUUAUCACCUCAUGACUUUGAUUUCAUUAAGAAACCACAGAAGAUUGGUAGCAUUGAGCCUCCAUGUUCUCACUGGGCUUGAAGCAAGGGUUCUCCUCGUGGUCCUGCAUCAUAUCACCCACUGCCUGCUCUGCAAAGCCCUCCUGCUCUCUUGGCACAGGUGAAUAAGCAGCCACUCCCCUGAGGAGCCAGCAGGACCGAGUGCAUCUUUCCCUGGAGGCUGGCACCCAACCAGACACUGCUUUACUCUUCCCUUGUGGGAAUGCAUGGAAGGACUGAGAGCAAAAUCUGUCUGGUCAGGGAUGGUUUGGACUGUUGAGAAAACACUGGCAUUUUCCUCCCAGUGCCUCUGUGCUCCCAGCCAUCUGCCACCUGCCUCCUCACUGGGGGUUCUCUGUAUUUGCUGGGAAGAGGAGGCUUGGAAGCACAGGAUGGAACAGCUGUGCUGUCCUUGGGCUCAGCUGGACACACUGCACAUUAUCCUGCUCUCCAAGGCAGUGGGAAAGUGUGUGGAAACAGGAGGAAAAAGUUCCAAGCAACCUUUUAUAGAAAGCCAUAGUUAAGAUACGUUCAUUUCAUCCUUCCAGUCCAGCCCUGCCAAAACCUACCCUAAGCAAGACUAGGAAUUGGGAAAAUGGGAAUCAAAACCCCUCCACUGGCUGUGAGGCAGGAGAAACUCCACGAGCAGUUGAUGCAGCCUUCAUGCUCUGAAGUGCAGGGAUGCAUCCCCUGCCUUUGUGGAAACAAUCUACCCAGCUGAGAUGGAAGGAUCAGGAUGGGCAAGGACAGCCCCAACCUCUGCCAUGGCAUGAGCAGCUUUAUAAUGGGAACAGGAUGAGGGAAAGGCACUGCUAAGCUGGGUUCUGCUGCAGAACAGAAAAUGCAUUGUUAGUAAAUCAGACUUUGGAACUGCUUAAGACUUAAACACAGCUUCAAUUAAUUAACCUUUCACAGCACAACACAGCCCCAGAGUGAGUACAACACUAUUCAGUCCCCUGACUGCAGAUUUUGUUGCAAAAUAAACAAGUUUUUCCAGGGCUGGGCUUGAUAGUGCUGAUCAAGAGGUUGGGUUGGGUUCAAAGUCAUCUCGAAGUCCUAGUGGGGAUACGAAAAUGGUUGUAACACCUAGAGAAAAUUACCUUUAGCAAAAUAUUUGUACACAGCACAUGUUGUAAAGCCCCAAAUGGUGUGACAGAGGUGCUCUUUAAUAAAUUCUAUGAGCGUGUUUCCCAGCA